CCAAAAAUUAAAUGUACAAUAUAAUAUAUAUUCAAUAUUGAUCAAACAAUUUAAAACGCGUGAUGCCUUCGGCAUAUAAUUUAAAUGCAUCGUAAGCUGACGUCUUUUAGACAUCGUAUGGCCAUCGCGCCAUCAUCGUAAUCCAUCGUGUAGCCUUCGUGAUCCAUCUUUUAGGCUUCGGCUGAGAUAUGAAGCUUAAAUACCGUCUUCGGUUAACCUUUGUAGGUCCAUCUUUUGCUAUCGUAUAUACUUUCGACACCCUCGUAUAG
RNAcentral lists this long non-coding RNA (269 nucleotides) under Mytilus galloprovincialis (Mediterranean mussel). The record is from RNAcentral. Lineage: Eukaryota; Metazoa; Mollusca; Bivalvia; Mytilida; Mytilidae.